Long non-coding RNA from Fukomys damarensis (Damara mole-rat), 904 nucleotides. RefSeq lists it as uncharacterized. The record is from RefSeq and is a predicted model, not a curated record. The transcript has 3 exons. NCBI's taxonomy places the organism in Eukaryota, Metazoa, Chordata, Mammalia, Rodentia, Bathyergidae.
CCCCCUUCUCCAGGUGUGGAGCAGGACCGCGGCAAGGGUCUGAGCAGAGCGCCCCGUGAAGCAGCCCUCUGUUGAAGAUAUUCAGAGGGAUCAGCUGAAGGAUCUUUGAUGGAGGCUGAAGGGUCCGUGCUGGAAGCCAAGAGACACUGAAGAUGAAAGUGAAGACUGGAGCUCCUCCAAAGAAACAGAAGCUGAGUGGAUGUCAACUUCCUCACCCCUGGUGCGGCUGUCUUUGUUCAAAGGCCUCUGGCAGAGAAGCAACCACCUCCACCUUGGGCAGCCCCUGAUCCGCCAGCUGGUUCCAAUGCAGACAGAAAGCCAGAUAGCCAAUUUGACAAACCGUACUUCCUGAGGCCUGACGCAGGGUCCUGGAGGGUCUCAUUUCUCCACAGAGAAAGUAGCAUGGCUAUAAAUAUUUUGGAUGCUUUUGAGAUCAUAACUAUGUUUUCCCCAGUAUUUUUUCUUCCCUGUCUUCCUUUCAGGCAGAGCUGUCUCUGAGAAAGAUGUGACUUUGGCGGGGUUGUGACUGGGGAUGGGAGAAAAGCAGAUGGUUUUGGCCAUCUCUGGGUUUUAGGUUCAAAUGCCAGCCUCCUUCUGGAAUCUAAAAGAACUCGUGGUUUAGAUAAAAUGCUUGUAAGAAGCCAGAGAAGAGAGAAAAGCUUAUCCCACAAGCCACAAGAGGCCCCAUCCUGUGCGGAAGAGAGCAGGGUAGGGAAAAGCCUGAGAUGGCGCAGGCACUGAGCCCCAGGAAAGGGGCAGAGUCUGGGAGGUGGUAAGGACUGGAGGAGCCCUGGCAAUGAGGCUAGGCAGAUUCCUAUGGCCACAUCUGGCACAUGAGCCAUGGGGGCUCAUGCUGUGUGGGCAGAGAACCAGAGGCGGCCUCCCUCCCUCACAGGCCUUGGCA